Non-coding RNA from Lupinus albus (white lupine), 115 nucleotides. The record is from the annotation of a GenBank genome assembly. Lineage: Eukaryota; Viridiplantae; Streptophyta; Magnoliopsida; Fabales; Fabaceae.
UAGAACAAGAUGGAGAAGCAGGGCACGUGCAACACUAACUUCAGAGAUAAUCACAUUCUCUUAUGUUUCACCAUUAGUUAGUAUUUCAUGUGCCCCUCUUCCCCAUCAUGACUGC